This 327-nucleotide long non-coding RNA is filed under the name Ananas comosus (pineapple). RNAcentral's name for it is "long non-coding RNA (ACOM_LNC026334)". Lineage: Eukaryota; Viridiplantae; Streptophyta; Magnoliopsida; Poales; Bromeliaceae. The record is from RNAcentral.
UUUGAUAAUGAGACAUUCUAGUUGACAAUCUACUCGGUUAGAUUUGAUUUAUAUACUAUUUAAAAUAUUUAAAAACUACAUUUCAUAAUUUUUUAAUAUUAUCGACUUAGCGAUUGAAAGGUCACAAAAUUCAACUAUUUUAAUUAUUGGUAUGAGACGAUUGCCAGUUUAACAGCGUAGAAAUAUUCAAAUUUGAUAUGAUUUUUUUUUUCUAUCUAAAGUAUAAUAAUAUCUUUGAUAUAAAAUUUAAGUUUUCUAUAAUUAUUUUUUAUAAAAUUUUUAUUUUUAAUCAUUUAUUUUUAAGUCACUCGAUGAAAAGAUAAAUAG